RNAcentral lists this ribosomal RNA (492 nucleotides) under uncultured bacterium. Its description in RNAcentral is "partial 16S ribosomal RNA". It matches the Rfam family "Bacterial small subunit ribosomal RNA", at positions 29 to 507 of the family's 1533-position model. The record is from RNAcentral.
AGUGAACGCUGGCGGUAGGCCUAACACAUGCAAGUCGAACGGCAGCACCGUAAGAGCUUGCUCUUACGGGUGGCGCGUGGCGGACGGGUGCCGAAUACAUCGGAAUCUACUUUUUCGUGGGGGCUAACGUAGGGAAACUUACGCGAAUACCGCAUACGACCUACGGGUGAAAGCAGGGGAUCUUCUGACCUUGCGCGAUUGAAUGAGCCGAUGUCGGAUUAGCUAGUUGGCGGGGUAAAGGCCCAACAAGGCGACGAUCCGUAGCUGGUAUGAGAGGAUGAUCAGGCAGACGGGAACUGAGAAACAGCCCAGACUCCUACGGGAGGACGCAGUGGAGAAUAUUGGACAAUGGGGGAAAGCGUGAUCCAGCCAUACCGCGUAGGUGAAGAAGCCCUUCGGGUGGUAAAGCCCUUUUGUUGGGAAAGAAAAGCAGCAGGUUAAUACCCCGCUGUUCUGACGGUACCCAAAGAAUAAGCACCGGCUAACUUCGUG